GGAUUCCCCUAGUAACUGCGAGUGAAGCGGGAAAAGCUCAAAUUUAAAAUCUGGUGGUCCUUGACCAUCCGAGUUGUAAUUUAGAGAAGCGUCUUCCGCGCUGGACCGUGUACAAGUCUCCUGGAAUGGAGCGUCGUAGAGGGUGAGAAUCCCGUCUUUGGCACGGAUGCCUGGUGCUUCUGUGAUGCGCUCUCGAAGAGUCGAGUUGUUUGGGAAUGCAGCUCAAAAUGGGUGGUGAACUCCAUCUAAAGCUAAAUAUUGGCGAGAGACCGAUAGCGAACAAGUACCGUGAGGGAAAGAUGAAAAGCACUUUGGAAAGAGAGUGAAACAGUACGUGAAAUUGUUGAAAGGGAAACGCUUCAAGUCAGUCGCGUCGACCGAGACUCAGCCUCGCCUUGGCUUGGUGUACUUCUCGGGCUUGACGGGUCAGCGUCGAUUUUGCCCCUCAGACAAUGGCAAGGGAAAGGUGGCACCUUUGCGGGUGUGUUAUAGUCUCCUGUCGCAUGUGAGGGGUGAGAUUGAGGAACUCAGCAUGCACCUUCUGGUGUCGGGGCUUUGGCCCACGCAACGUGCUUAGGAUGCUGGCAUAAUGGCUUUAAACGACCCGUCUUGAAACACGGACCAAGGAGUCCAACAUGCCCGCGAGUGUUCGGGUGGAAAACCCGUGCGCGUAAUGAAAGUGAAAGUUGGGACCUCUGUCGUGGAGGGCACCGACGCCCGGACCAGACCUUCUGUGACGGUUCUGCGGUAGAGCGUGUAUGUUGGGACCCGAAAGAUGGUGAACUAUGCCUGAAUAGGGUGAAGCCAGAGGAAACUCUGGUGGAGGCUCGUAGCGAUUCUGACGUGCAAAUCGAUCGUCAAAUUUGGGUAUAGGGGCGAAAGACUAAUCGA
Molecule: ribosomal RNA, 891 nt
Filed under: Lactarius cyanescens
Lineage: Eukaryota; Fungi; Basidiomycota; Agaricomycetes; Russulales; Russulaceae
Description: eukaryotic LSU rRNA
Rfam family: Eukaryotic large subunit ribosomal RNA
Source: RNAcentral